RNAcentral lists this long non-coding RNA (1366 nucleotides) under Rattus norvegicus (Norway rat). RNAcentral describes it as "long non-coding RNA NONRATT030268". The record is from RNAcentral. Lineage: Eukaryota; Metazoa; Chordata; Mammalia; Rodentia; Muridae.
GAGAAGGAAGCGGGCGUGUGACGUCAUGGUCACUGGUACUCAGGCACUUCACAGUUUACUUGAAAGAGGCUUUGGAAAAAUAGAUAAAGUGAAAGAUUAAAUACAUAUUUUUAAUAAGGUAAUUUUAAAAAAUCCUUUAUAAUCAGGAGUGAGUCUUGGCUUGUUAAAAGCUGUCAUUUAUCUUGAAACACAGUAUCGAAAGAGAAAUUUACGAUUGACUUUGUUUCUUUUUUUCUUUGAAGCUCUCCUCUGAACCCAUGUUUUAGGAUAGGAUUCUUUCGUUUCCCUCCAUGGCAACGCAAUGCUGUGUCAAGGGAGCCAUGGCUGUGAGUGAGCACGGAGUUGGUCACAAUAUGAGCCCAUCCCUAUUGUCCUUGAUACUCUUAGGAGUAUAUUUAAGAACCAUAGGCAGAAAUCAUGGCUUCCUGCUUGAAACCUGAUCCUUAGAAGAUUGUUUUGAAAGCUGAAGUCUAGCGGCCCCAUGCUCUUUCUUGUGUGUUUGGUAGCCCUCCAACUGACUGGUCUUUUUGUACACAGAGCUAAGCAGUGGUUAGCAGCCUGCAGGAUCUGUUUACACAGCAACUGUGGAUUAUUGGCAUCUCCGUGGGCUGGUCCCAUGGGCUGAAGAUUCUGUAUAGAAUUAUUAAAAAAAAAAUUCCACCUUCUUUUUAUUUUCUUCAUAGUUUCUUAAGCACUUUGACAUUUUGGUAGUUCCACGAUAUGGAGAGAAUAAUAUAUUUAUUUUGUGACAUUGCAUAUGCCAAAUACUGUAGCUUUCCUGUGCUCACGAUACCUGCGUUCCAGGUCAGUGUUUCGAUCCUGGCCUGCCGGAACAAUGGCUCGGGAUGGUUUUGUGAUGUUUUUUCCCCCCUCAGCCACCAUUAUCAAUAUUUAAAGGUGCAGUUGACUGUUAGUAGUUGUGUGGUAAAGUCAAGCCCUGUGGUGUAUCAGCAAAUAGUUAAGAGUCUCAGUUGAUUUCUGUAAUGUUUGACCUAAUAAAUGCCCAUUUCAUCUGUGACAAGACAUAGCCCAGUGAACGUCACUGUGGUGGUGCCAUGGGGGAGUUCCCAUCACAUGCCAGCCAGACCUAGUGACACUUCUGCCCUUUGGGUUCCCAUAGAGGAAUUUGGCCUCCCCAAGUGAGGUUUGGAAUGGUUUCUGACAGACACACGGGGAGGCCAGUGUGGAUUGAGAGCUGUUCUCCUCACACAUUCUGUGAAAGUGUUGGAACCCCUGGCUUCCGGUUUUGGUUUUCCUGUAAUUCUGUCUUCACAUCAGACACUUUUCUCUGUUUCCAUUCCCUCCCCCCUUUUAUAAUGCAUAUCUGAUGCUGUGAACAGAAAUAAACUAUUUAUACAAUCAAACA